RNAcentral lists this ribosomal RNA (460 nucleotides) under uncultured bacterium. Its description in RNAcentral is "partial 16S ribosomal RNA". It matches the Rfam family "Bacterial small subunit ribosomal RNA", at positions 338 to 795 of the family's 1533-position model. The record is from RNAcentral.
CCUACGGGUGGCAGCAGUGAGGAAUAUUGGUCAAUGGACGAGAGUCUGAACCAGCCAAGUAGCGUGAAGGAUGACUGCCCUAUGGGUUGUAAACUUCUUUUAUAUGGGAAUAAAAUGUUCCACGUGUGGGAUUUUGUAUGUACCAUAUGAAUAAGGAUCGGCUAACUCCGUGCCAGCAGCCGCGGUAAUACGGAGGAUCCGAGCGUUAUCCGGAUUUAUUGGGUUUAAAGGGAGCGUAGGUGGAUUGUUAAGUCAGUUGUGAAAGUUUGCGGCUCAACCGUAAAAUUGCAGUUGAAACUGGCAGUCUUGAGUACAGUAGAGGUGGGCGGAAUUCGUGGUGUAGCGGUGAAAUGCUGAGAUAUCACGAAGAACUCCGAUUGCGAAGGCAGUUCACUGGACUGCAACUGACACGGAGGCUCGAAAGUGUGGGUAUCAAACAGGAUUAGAUACCCGGGUAGUC